AGAGUUUGAUCAUGGCUCAGAUUGAACGCUGGCGGCGUGCUUAACACAUGCAAGUCGUGCGAGAAAGGGGACUUCGGUCCCUGAGUAGAGCGGCGCACGGGUGAGUAACGCGUGGAUAAUCUACCCAGAUAUUCGGGAUAACGGCGGGAAACUGCCGCUAAUACCGGAUACGCUCCAAUUUCGGUUGGGGGAAAGGCGGCCUCUGCUUGCAAGCUGUCGUAUCUGGAUGAGUCCGCGUCCCAUUAGCUUGUUGGUGGGGUAAUGGCCUACCAAGGCGACGAUGGGUAGCUGGUCUGAGAGGAUGAUCAGCCACACUGGAACUGAAACACGGCCCAGACUCCUACGGGAGGCAGCAGUGGGGAAUAUUGCGCAAUGGGGGAAACCCUGACGCAGCGACGCCGUGUGAGGGAAGAAGGCUUUCGGGUCGUAAACCUCUGUCGGGGAGGAAGAACCUUCCAGGGCUGAACAAGUCCUGGAACUGACGGUACCUCCAAAGGAAGCACCGGCUAACUCCGUGCCAGCAGCCGCGGUAAAUACGGAGGGGUGCAAGGCGUUAAUCGGGAAUCACUGGGGCGUAAAGCGCGCGUAGGCGGACUUUUAAGUCCGGACGGGAAAGCCCUCGGCUCACCGGGGGACUGCGUUCCAAACUGGGAGGCUG
This 658-nucleotide ribosomal RNA is filed under the name uncultured bacterium. RNAcentral describes it as "bacterial SSU rRNA". It matches the Rfam family "Bacterial small subunit ribosomal RNA", at positions 8 to 643 of the family's 1533-position model. The record is from RNAcentral.